GGAGAGGUGGCUGAGCGGUCGAAAGCGGCAGAUUGCUAAUCUGUUGUACGGCUUAACGCCGUACCGAGGGUUCGAAUCCCUCCCUCUCCG
This 90-nucleotide transfer RNA is filed under the name Cyanobacteria bacterium QS_8_64_29. Its description in RNAcentral is "tRNA-Ser". It matches the Rfam family "tRNA". Rfam says of the family: Transfer RNA (tRNA) molecules are approximately 80 nucleotides in length. Their secondary structure includes four short double-helical elements and three loops (D, anti-codon, and T loops). Further hydrogen bonds mediate the characteristic L-shaped molecular structure. tRNAs have two regions of fundamental functional importance: the anti-codon, which is responsible for specific mRNA codon recognition, and the 3' end, to which the tRNAs corresponding amino acid is attached (by aminoacyl-tRNA synthetases). tRNAs cope with the degeneracy of the genetic code in two manners: having more than one tRNA (with a specific anti-codon) for a particular amino acid; and 'wobble' base-pairing, i.e. permitting non-standard base-pairing at the 3rd anti-codon position. The record is from RNAcentral. Lineage: Bacteria; Bacillati; Cyanobacteriota.